This 64-nucleotide transfer RNA is filed under the name Microgaster campestris. RNAcentral describes it as "tRNA-Asp". Lineage: Eukaryota; Metazoa; Arthropoda; Insecta; Hymenoptera; Braconidae. The record is from RNAcentral.
UAAAAAUUAGUUAAAUUAUAAUAUUAAAAUGUCAUUUUAAAGUUAUUAAAAAUAAUAUUUUUAA